UACGUAGGGGGCAAGCGUUGUCCGGAUUCAUUGGGCGUAAAGAGCUCGUAGGCGGUUCAGUAAGUCGGGUGUGAAAUCUCCGUGCUCAACACGGAGCGGCCACCUGAUACUGCUGUGACUCGAGUCCGGUAGGGGAGUGUGGAAUUCCCGGUGUAGCGGUGAAAUGCGCAGAUAUCAGGAGGAACACCGGUGGCGAAGGCGGGUCUCUGGGCCGAUACUGACGCUGAGGAGCGAAAGCGUGGGGAGCGAACAGG
This 254-nucleotide ribosomal RNA is filed under the name uncultured bacterium. RNAcentral describes it as "partial 16S ribosomal RNA". It matches the Rfam family "Bacterial small subunit ribosomal RNA", at positions 524 to 776 of the family's 1533-position model. The record is from RNAcentral.